This 255-nucleotide ribosomal RNA is filed under the name uncultured bacterium. RNAcentral's name for it is "partial 16S ribosomal RNA". It matches the Rfam family "Bacterial small subunit ribosomal RNA", at positions 524 to 776 of the family's 1533-position model. The record is from RNAcentral.
UACGUAGGCAGCGAGCGUUUGUUCGGAGUUACUGGGCGUAAAGGGCGCGUAGGCGGCCACCGCAAGUCGACUGUGAAAUCUCCGGGCUUAACCCGGAAAGGUCAGCCGAUACUGCGGGGCUAGAGUGCAGAAGGGGCAACUGGAAUUCUCGGUGUAGCGGUGAAAUGCGUAGAUAUCGAGAGGAACACCUGCGGCGAAGGCGGGUUGCUGGGCUGACACUGACGCUGAGGCGCGAAAGCUAGGGGAGCGAACGGG